RNAcentral lists this ribosomal RNA (443 nucleotides) under uncultured bacterium. Its description in RNAcentral is "partial 16S ribosomal RNA". It matches the Rfam family "Bacterial small subunit ribosomal RNA", at positions 338 to 795 of the family's 1533-position model. The record is from RNAcentral.
CCUACGGGAGGCAGCAGUGGGGAAUAUUGGGCAAUGGGCGCAAGCCUGACCCAGCAACGCCGCGUGAAGGAAGAAGGCUUUCGGGUGGUAAACUUCUUUUCUCAGGGACGAAGAAAGUGACGGUACCUGAGGAAUAAGCCACUGCUAACUACGUGCCAGCAGCCGCGGGAAUACGUAGGUGGCAAGCGUUAUCCGGAUUUAUUGGGUGUAAAGGGCGUGUAAGCGGGAGCGCAAGUCAGAUGUGAAAACUCAGGGCUCAACCCUGAGCCUGCAUUUGAAACUGUGUUUCUUGAGUGCUGGAGAGGCAAUCGGAAUUCCGUGUGUAGCGGUGAAAUGCGUAGAUAUACGGAGGAACACCAGUGGCGAAGGCGGAUUGCUGGACAGUAACUGACGCUGAGGCGCGAAAGCGUGGGGAGCAAACAGGAUUAGAUACCCCAGUAGUC